CUUGAAAGCUUGGCCAUUUUAAAACUCAAAGGAAGUGUACCUCCAACAGUGAGACUCAGGCUGUGUGACAGAUGGUAGAAAGAAAUAUUUACACGAAGGCUGUGGCUGGGAGGGCAGACACGCUCACUGUUGCCGUAGGUGAACUUGUGUUGCUGCCUGUUGGACACGCAGGCACAACGUGGCGAAGCCUCCAUGAGUCCUGACGUGUCUUCCUCACAGCAAACAGCCGCCACCUUUAGUUACUCCUUGGGGACCACGAUUUUUCUCAGCCAGCCUCCUUCACGAUCUCCUCCAAAGUGCGCUUGGCUCUCCCGGGAGAAUCGCAGCUGAGAAUGACAGCUGGACAGUUGCACCCGGCUCACCAGCUUCGCACACAGCUUGCUUUCAAGGAAGUGGGGCAGCAAACUGGCAGACCCCCGGAAAGACUCAGUUUCCCCACCUUGACUGCAUUUAGGGGUGGCUGUGCGACUGAGUUCUGGCCAAUGAAGUGUGAGUGGGAGAGGCCACUCACUAGUUAGAAACGAGUCAACAUCACUGGGUACAAGGUCAGUAUACAAAAAUCAAUUGUAUUUCUUUACACUAGCAACAAAUAAUUUGAAAGUGAAAUUUCAAAAAACAGUUCCAUUAUCAAUAACACCAAAAACGAACCCCCAGGAAUAAAUAUAAUAAAAGAUGUGCAAGACCUCUAUCAGAAAACUAUAAAACACUACCAAGAGAAAUUAAAGAAGCAGGGGAAAAAAGGAGUUACAUACCUUGUUCAUACAUUGAAAGAAUACUAUAAAUCUGAUAAAUCUCCCCAAUUUUAUUUAGGGGAUUCAGUUCAAUCCCAAGCAAAAUCCCCACAUGAGUUUUUGUGUGUAAAAACCAACAAGCAAAUCGUGAAAUGCAAAGUGUCAAGAACAGAAAACAGUCUUGAGGAAAAACCAAGUAGAGGAUGUAAAUCACUGAUUUUCAAGCUACUAUAAUUAAAACUAUGUGGUAUCAGUGAAAGGGUAGACAAAUGGGCCAAAACAGUAAAAUAGAGUUCCCCAACUCAACCCACACAUAUAUAAUCAACCUGAUUUGCAGCAAAGGUACAGUGCCACACAGCGGAGAAAGGAAGAUCUUUUCAGUAAAUGGUGCCGAUCCAUUGAAUAUUCAAAUGGGAAACACCUUGACCCCUACAUCAUGCCAAAGACAUAAAUAAAUUACAGAGAAAUCAUAGACCAAAAUGUGAAAGGAAAACAGCAAAGCUUUCAAAAGAUAGCAGAGGAAACACAGAACAUCUUCAUGACCUUGGGAUAGGCAAAGAUUUCUUUAACAGGACGCAAAACAUACUACUCAUAAAAGAAAAGAUUGAUACCCAGUAUUUCAUUAAAAUUUAAAACUUUUGUUUAUUUAAAAAAAAUGAAGGGAGUGAAAAGGUAAGCCACAGAGUGUGAAAAUAUAAUUGCAAUCCGUAUAAUUGACAAAGAAUUCAUAUCCAGAAUAUAUAAAGAACUUCUUCAAAUCAAUAAGAAAAAGAGAGACUAUCUAAAAGAAAAAUCAGCCAAAGAUUUAAACAGGAAAUUCUCAAAAAAGAAUACUAAAGUGUCCAACGAGGCUUUAAAAAGGUGCUCAAUAACAUGAGUCAUUAGGAAAAUGCAAAUUAAAAACACAAUAAGAUACCACAGCACUCACACCAGAAUGGCCACAUGAGAAAGACAGACAAUACCAAGUGCUAGCAAGGAUAUGGAGCAACUGGCAGCCUCAUGCAAUGCUAAAGUUGGGCAUGUAAAUUUGCAGAACUACUUUGGAAAACUAUUUGGCAACAUCUACUAAAGUUUUAUGUAUGCACGCUCUGUGACCCAGCAAUUCUACUGCUCGGUACAUACACAACAGAAAUUUAUAGAUAUGUGCAGCAAAAGACACAUUCAUAACAGCUUUACUGAUAAUAGUCCAAACUGAAGACAAUCCAAAUGCCUGCCAGCAGUAGAAUGGAUAAACUGUGGUAUAUUCAUGCAAUGGAGUCUUAUACAGCAAUGAAAGAGAAUUAAUUGCUGCUUCAAGCUACAAUAUAGAUGAAUCUCACAGAUGUAAUAUUGUAUGAAACAAGUGUGUGUACCUUCCCUAUGCUCUCUUUCCUCACCUGCCAACUAAAAUGACAAGGACUCCGAGGAUCUAGAAGAGGGUUGAGCAGCAAAAUAGAGCUUGGGGGCCCCUGAAUGAUCAUGUGGCCAGGAACACCCCCUUUGUGCUGUGACGUCAGUGAAAAUGACUUUUUGUGUUAAGUCACAAAAUCUGGGGUUAAUCUGUUUCAGCAGCCACCAUUUCUUACCCUCAGUGGUAAACAGGGCAAUGUAUAGUUAAGUGAGAACAGGUGGUACCAUCAGAAUGUGCUGGAGAAGCUCAUAAGAAGGAGAGGCCACCAGGAGCUGGUGUUGUCAGGAAAGGCCUUUUCCCAUAUACAAAAGCUGGAAGUCAAAUGGAGAAUGGGGCUUGGAUAAGUUACAGGAGAAAUUCUUCCAGGUAGACGCAGUGGUUUGGGACCUGAUGCCGAUGGAGGACAAAUGGAGAGCAUGGCGUUCCUGCAGGUGGAAGAGAGGUUGGGGCCAGUUUCUGCAGGUGCCCCUGUCAUCUGCUGAAGGAUCUGGGAAAAGAAGGGUCCAUGACUAUUCUUUCCUCUGUAGAUCUGUGACCCACAAUUUGAAAUGACAGAUCUGCUCAGCUUACACAUUCAGGGCAGUUUCAAGUGAGAUGUAUGUAAUUCCUUUCCUCUGACAACAUGCUCUGUUGUCCUCUCUCUGUUUCAUAAUUGUCUACUUUUAGGAGAAUUUAUGGAGCCUGAUGAAUAGCUUAACAUUUCUUUCUUUGAAUUUCCAGAUGUUCUGACCAAAUUCCAACUUCCAGUUGGACGUUCCCAGCCCUUCUCGAGGGCUGUCUGGUAAUUUUCUAAUCCUGCCUGGGACAUUCCUGUUUCCUGCUGAGAAAUAAGAAAACAACAAUGCUUCCCUAAGGGUGGUCUGCUUCAGCCCUGGGCCCUGGGAUCUCCAUUUUAGGGAAAGUGUUUACAAGGGUAUAAAGCUCUGAAAGGAAGCGGGCCUGUGAGUCUUCUGGGAAAGAACAUGGGCCCCCGCCAUAAGGAUUUGCCGCAGAAUUCUGCUGCAUUCCUCAGCGGGACAGACUGUCUAGGAAGUUCACUUUGAUUAAAAUAUAGCUACAUGUAAGUGUGUGUGAGUGGGUGUGUGAAACAGAUCUGAGAAAAAGGCAGGCAAAAGUAAAGGGAGUGAGGGAGAUAAGGAGAGAGGUCACAGGCAGAUAGUUCUCUCUCGGUGCAUAAAGAUUUCUUCGGUGCACUUGAAUUUUUUUUAUUAUGGAAAUAUUCAAACAUACACAAAAAUAGAGAAAAUAGUGUAGUGAACCACCACGUACCCAUCAUCCAACUUCAACAACUAUCAACAUUUUGUCAAUCUUUUUUACCUAUCUGCUCCUCUCCUUUUUUUUGCUCUAGAACUGGGAAUUGGCAAACUAGCACCCACUGGGCCAAAUCCAGCUUGCCUCCUGUUUUUGUAAAUAAAGUUUUAUUGGAACACAGCCGCAACUAUUCCUUUAUGUGUUAUCCACACCUGCUUUCACAUCACACCAGCAAGGCUGAGUAGUUGGACAGACAUUGUAUAGCCCAGGAAGCCUAAAAUAUUUCUAUGUGAACUUUUAGAGAAAAAGCUUAUACUGGGCAUCAUACCAUUUCACUCAUAAAUGUUUCAAUAUGAGUCUCUAGCAGAUAAUGUAACUGUGGGCCUCCAGGACCAGUGCAACUGACCUCGUCUCUUACCACCAGAGUGAUUAAGAACUGCCUUUCAGAAAGUGUGCAAAGUCACAUAGCCAGGGCACGUGCAAAAGAAGAAAUCGUGACCUGAAACGACUUCAGAACCAAAGAUCCUCCUUCCCAUGGAACCCAAGGACCAGGAUAUGACUGGAACUUGAAAGUCAGACUCUUCUCAGAAGGCACUUAACAUGAGUCUUACGUUCCUCACCUGGAAGUUGAGAGGGUUGCCCUGGCUAAUCCUCAAGGACCCGGCCAGCCAGAGGUCUGAAGCCAGGAGAAACGUGGUGCGGGUUAAGGUUGUGGCGCCAGCUUCCACACGGUUCGUGUGCACAGUGAAGCCCAUGAGAAGUGUUCUGUUUGGAGAAGCAGCUCUGACAACUGGGGGCAAUGCAGUCAUCCGCAAAGGAAGCAGCCUUCGAAAGUGCUCCCAGCCUGUUGUCCCAAGAGGAAGGAAGGCGUGAGCUCGUUUCUGAGGGCAGAUCCGCCCUGAAGGAGCACUAACUAAUUUUCCCUUUGCCCCAGUUCCUUGAACUCGUUCUCUCUCUUUAUUGUGCAUAUUUUUCUAAACACCUCAAAUCCUUUUAUGGAAUAAAGUUAGGAUAUAAAUGUGUUCAUUUUUAAAAAAAUCCUGAAAAGUGAGUUGCUUCAAACUACCAUAGAACUACCAUAUGACCUAGCGAUGCCACUUCUGGGCAUACACGCCAAAGAAUUGAAAGCAGAGACUCGAACAGAUUUUGGUACACCCAUGUUCAAAGCAGCAUCAUUCACGAUGGCCAAAAUGUGGAAACAACCCAAGCGUCCAUCAACAGAUGAAUGAUAAACAAAAUGUGAUACACACACUGUAGUAUACUAUUCAGACGUAAAAAGGAAUGAAAUUUUGAAACAUGCUAAAACUUGGAAGGACCUUGAAAACAUUAUGCCAGCAAUAAGCCAGACACAGAAGGGGAAAUAUUGUAUGAUUCCAUUCAUAGGAGGUACCAAGAAUAGGCCAAUUCAUAGAGACAGAAAGUGGAAUAGAGGUUACCAGGGGCUGGGGGAAGGGAGAAGAAGGGGUUAUCAUUUAACAGACAGAGAGUUUUUGUUGGAGAUGAUGAAAAAGUUUUGCGUGUAGAUAGUGACGAUGGUUACAUAACUUUGGGAAUGUGUUUAAUGCCACUGAAUUGUACACUUAUGAAGGGUUAAAAUGAUAAAUAUUGUGUUAUAUAUAUUUUACCACAAUAAAAAUAGUUUUUUAUGGUGAAAAAGUUAUAUUUGGAAUUGGUCAGCUGGACUCAGUUCAGAGGAUCCCAGCUCUGUUGGCAACAUCCAGAGCAUCAGAGUCAGGCCAGUGGCACGUAUACCUUCUCUCCGUCCGGCCGGAUUGGGGUGUGGACCUUGGC
Equus caballus (horse) is the source of this 5163-nucleotide long non-coding RNA. The record is from Ensembl. NCBI's taxonomy places the organism in Eukaryota, Metazoa, Chordata, Mammalia, Perissodactyla, Equidae.